GAAGAAGGCCCUAGGCCCACAUCCCCACGCCCCUCGGUCCAGGCACAUGCCCACAGCGCACACCGCCUCAGCCCGGCCCUCGGCCAUGCCCUGAACCAUGCAGGACACCCAGGCCAGGCGGCCAGCCAGGCCACGCCCCAAGAGAUCAUUUCCCGAAAUCCUCAGGGUCCUGUCAGCGGCAGCUCAGCCCCAGGCUCGCCGAGUCCUAUUGCCCCCUCACACUGCACCCCAGCUGGUCUUGCCCAAGGUGUGGGGUUAAAGGAGGUCAUAGCAAUAGGGAAGCCCCUGCCUACUGCAGGGGCCGGGAGACCCUGGUGGAGAAGGCAGUGAGGGCCCCAGGAGGAAGCCAGUGGACAGUUCUGACACAUAGCUGCACCACGGCUGGAGAUGAGCUGGUGCCAUCAUCCCCACUCCACCUGCCCCCAGCCCAUGUGUCCAGUGACCACGGCCCUCCAACAAUAAAAUGCUGGAGGGGAAUGAGGGAAGCGCCGGCAUGCCCAUGCAGUGCCCCGCGGGGUGCCAGAGCCCCGUCGCGGUCACAGCUGUGUGUGGAAGAGCCCAGCCCUGGGGACACCUGCAAACAGCUGCUUGUCCACAGCCUCUGGGACAUGGGCUGGGCCCCUGCAGGGAGCAAGACUGUCCCCAGUGGAGCGCACGUCCUGACGGGCUCUGAGGAUCGUCUGCAUGUGGCCAGCGUCACAGUGGCAGGGCCAGCAGACGGCGAGCUGCCCAGACCUGUCUGGAGCCCUGCCAGCCUCAGAGUCCUUCAUGGAGAGCCGGGCAUCUGGGAGACCUCGCAGAGUGGUGCUCUGAAGCCCAGAGAGAACAGGGUUCUCCGAGGCCUGGAGCUGGCCCCAGGACGGUGCUCGCAGGAACAUGCUGUGGCCAUCCAGCCCUGGCCACUUUGCCUAGCCUGCCUGUGGGGCUCCUCCACGGGAUUCGCAGAAAGGCUGCCCUGCUGCAGCUCGCGGUGCCAGCAGGAGAGCGAGAUGGGGCUCGUCCACUGUGCUUGCUAUGCAGCAGGCCCUCGACCUUUCAAUUUGAAAGAGAUUUGUCUCCUUGGCUGAAGAUUAAACAAUAUGCAGGCAAGAUCCAGUCCUGUCUUGCUCCCCUGGAUAGACGAGUGUACCCCCAAACAAACAUUCCACAAACUCUUAGAGCAGGAAGGGUCUCCCUUCACCCUGAAACAACUCACGGUGCAGAUGAGUUUGGGAAGGGGCUGUGACUUACUAUGUGGCCCUGAGACCCCGGAACCUCCCUCCCCUCUCCCCAGCCCUGGCCCGCUCCAGCCACCUGGCCCACUCCCUGCCCAUCACACUGAAGGACACUGCCCCAAAGAGCCUGACCCAGCUGGGGCUCCAGCCCUGUUCCAUCAUUGAUUGUGAGGUCGCUGCACAUCACUGGGCCUCUGUCUCCCCUUCUAUAGCAUGAGAGAUCCAAGACCUUUUCAUGUCUAGUACUCUGCACUAUGCAACCUAGAAUAGGAAUGCUAGAUCCCCAGCACACAUGCCCUAUCUUGUGAUUUCUGCACUCAUGGCAGACAUCACUAAUCAAUUGCCAAUCUUCACCACCAAGUUCCUAUUACAUAGCAGAGUCCUCAACACAGUGCACAGGUAACCAUUUUCUCACCCACUUAUCAUAGGCACAACUGGGUCUAAAAGACAGGCACACCUACAGCAAGUGGCAAUGAGAGGAACUGCUUCAGAAGGGGCCCUGCAAGGGGCUCUUGCACCAAGCAGGUCUCCCUGGGGGCCUGACAUGCCCACAAAGCCCAGAGAGCUGCACAGAGUAAGAGAGCUGCAGGACACAGCCUUGCCGCCUUCUCUCCUUAGCCUUCCCACUGCCAUUUGUCUGCAGCAGGCCCAGAGGCCCCAAGGGAGACAAGACCAAGGCUCAGACCCCACCAUCCCUCCAGGGCGGCCCAGGCCCCUGCAGGGCCUCUGAUUCCUCCUGAAGCUGAGCUGAGGUCCCGAGGUCAGGCACGGGAGCCUGGGUGUCCUGUGUGUGGCCCGAGCUGGGGCAGGGCUGGGUCUUGGCAGGGGAUGGACCUGCUCCCGCACCCGGCAUGGCAGCACGGCCUUGCGCCGGCUCACUCCUCACUCCACCAAGGCGGGCAGGUGGGGAGCAGGGCUGAGGCUCCGCGCCCACCCCUGCCAGCUUGUACUUAAUUAUAAUGAUAAACGGUGGCAGGCGUCCACGGCCACGUUGCGGAACAUGACAAACACUCCGCAUCUCGGAGCCAGCCGGCUGGGCUCCCACUCCCUGCACCCCUGCACAGUAGGUGAAGGUUAUGCGAGGCCACGAGGCCCCUCCCCUGCCCCAGGCUGGACCCAUGGCCACUGGAAGCUGGACCUGCACCCUCACCCAGCCCAGGCUCCCUCACACCCAGGCUCAGCUCCUCCCAGCAACCUCAGGAGGACUUGUGUCAAAACUAGGAC
Long non-coding RNA from Heterocephalus glaber (naked mole-rat), 2438 nucleotides. The record is from Ensembl. NCBI's taxonomy places the organism in Eukaryota, Metazoa, Chordata, Mammalia, Rodentia, Bathyergidae.